This is a long non-coding RNA of Cebus imitator (Panamanian white-faced capuchin), 570 nucleotides long. RefSeq lists it as uncharacterized. NCBI's taxonomy places the organism in Eukaryota, Metazoa, Chordata, Mammalia, Primates, Cebidae. The record is from RefSeq and is a predicted model, not a curated record. The transcript is spliced from 2 exons.
UGGGCGCCUCUGGCGCGCUCUGAUGACGCUCCAAGGGAAGAGGAAGUGGGGAUCGGCGAGCGGGUGGGUGCGCCUCGGGCCGCGGGACUCGCAGCCGCCGCCGCUGCUGCCGCCUCUACGGCCGCGUCAGAACUGAAGAGAGGAAGGGGAGGAGCUGAGACGAGCCUAAGCUGCCGCCCGAUUUUACCCCUGACCCGAGGGCGGCCCGGAGAGCUUGCUCUGUAGCAGUUUCCUGCGGGGCAGGUGGGACUGCUCCUUUGGGAGGAAGGAGGAGGCCUAGGCCGCGCCUUCAGGCAACUGCGCGCACCACCCAAAGAAUCAGUGAUAUUUUAAAACUGGAGGAAGGUGAGACCCAGAGAAAUUGACUUACCCAGAGUCAGGAGGGCAAGUAAAUAGGAAGCCUGGACUCCACCCCAAGUCUUCAAAUACAGUACGCUUGCCAUUAUAUCACACUGACUCUGUCUUCUGGAAAAAUAAGGUAAAUUAAUUCCCAAGAUCUAUAGAAUAUUGUUCAUUUCCACAUGGCAGCCCUCUUAUUCUACAAUUGAAUAAAGCCUAUUUUAAGCCUAA